Molecule: long non-coding RNA, 5521 nt
Organism: Homo sapiens (human)
Lineage: Eukaryota; Metazoa; Chordata; Mammalia; Primates; Hominidae
Exons: 2
Source: RefSeq, a predicted model, not a curated record
GUGACAGUGUGAGACUCCGUCUCAAAAAACAAAACAAAACAAACAGUUUUAUUUGAAUGUUAUCAGUAUUGUGUUGUGGCUAAGAAAAAGGGCUCUAGAUUUAGACUCCCUGUGUUUAAAUUUCAUCUCUUCCAUCUUGCUCACCUAUAAAAUGGACAUCAUAAUGUCUACAUCAUAGGAGAGUUGUGAGCAUUCAUUGUUAGUCUGUGUAGUAUUUAGAUAGCGCCUGGAGUAGAACAAGUGUUAGUGAUGAUGUUGAUAAUGACUGUGAUGAUGGUGGUAAUGAUGAUGGAGAGAGGGAAGUGUGUACUGACUAGAUAGGAUUGAAGGCAAAAAAGCCUCCCAGCUUUCACUACCCCAGCCCUACCCCAAGCAGUUCAGCUUUGGCCCCAACCCUACAGAGUCUACUCAGGAAAACAAAAGCCAAGUAGUUAAUCUGACCUGUCUUCCUAGGAAGGCAGUUUGGUGACUAUGUUAUUAGAGAGUAUAUCCUUUAGAGGUGUCAUUGCUUUCCCAAGUGGGCUAUCCAAGUAUUCCAUUCAGUCAUAUAUGGUAAGCCCCUCUAGAGGAGUUUUUGGUAAAUACAUUUUUCUCUAUUGAUAUGGUUUGGCUGUGUCCCCACACAAAUCUCAUCUUGAAUUGUAGCUCCCAUAACUGCCACAUAUUAUGGGAGGGACUCAGCAGAAUAUAAUUGAAUCAUGGGGGAGGUUUCCCCCAUACUGUUCCUGUGGUAGUGAAGAAGUCUCAUGAAAUCUGAUGGUUUUAUAAGGGGAAACCCCUUUCAUUUGGCUCUCAUUUCUCUCUUUGCCUGCUGCCUUCCAUGUAAGACAUGACUUGCUUCUUCUUGCCUUCUGUCAUAAUUGUGAGGCCUCCCCAGCCAUGUGGAACUGUGAGUCUAUUAAUCCUCUUUCCUUUAUAAAUUACCCAGUCUCAGGUAUGUCUUUAUUAUCAGCCUGAGAACAGACUAAUGCAUCUAUUUUAUUGCAUUUACAUGGAUAUUUUACCAACUGGUGAUGCCUGAUGACCCAGAGAGCUGCCCUGGAUGAAUAGCCCCCACAGUGCAACUCAAUUCUGACAAUGCCAUAGUUUCUUUCAAUGGCUCUUCUCUGUUUGACUUCCUCUAAAUGCCUUUUUACUUCUAAAUAUUGAUGUUUACUAGAAUGUCAUUGUUGGCUCUUUUGUCUGCUUAUCUAAUUUGGUGGUGCUCUAGACAGUCCAUGUUGAAGUUUCAAGUGGCCCAUGUAUCCCUGAAAUUACAUGCAAGACUGGGUAUAUAUGUGCAUUUUUCCAGGAGAGGACCCGUGUUUUCAUCCAUAUUCUCAAAGGCAGCUCAAAAAUGAAGAACCAAGCUAAUCCAAGUUAUUCAUUUUCAUAAGCCUUUGGGGUCUUUGCCAGUCCUAUUCUGUAGACUGGAUGAGUUAAUCUCUUCCUUUUGGUGAGAUGAAUAACUUUCUAAAUCUAUAUGAAAUAAAAGAUAUCCCCCCUUUGGGUAGAAACAUGUCAAUACUUCCUGUGUAACCCUUUAAACCUUCUCCUGGCCAUGGCAAGCCUGACUUUUAUAUUCAAGUAGUAUACGUAUGUGAUUAACUGUACACAUUUCUGUUUAUCUAGCAGGAUUAUAUAAUUCUUGUGUGGCAUAACUAAAUUUUGUUCAUUUUUACAUCCCUCAGUGCCUAGUCCAGUGCUUGGGACAUGGUAGGUGCUCUGUAAACACUGAUUGGAGGCCUGACUGCAUUUUAUAUUCCUCAAUUAAUGAUGAAGCAAUAUAGCCAGAUCAUGCUGCAUUUAUAAGUAUUUAGCAGACAAUAUUACCAGGGUAGAUUAUGAAUACGUAUAGCAAAAACGCUAUUGAGACAGAAAUUCCUAAGGGAAAUAUAUAAAAUCACCCUAUUUCUUUCACAGAAAAAAAAAUACAAAAUCAGGUUUUUCCACCAUUAUUAGGCUCCAAUAAAUAUUCAUCCUUUAUCCCUCCAGGGGAUCCCAAGCUUCCUGCAAGGGAAAUGAGUGCUAAAUGUGCCCAGUAAAUCACUCUGUUUGUUUUCACCCUGUAGACAGAAUGGCGAUCUUAGUUGAUUUUUUUCUUCCGACAGCCUAACGAUUCAAAUAACUUAAGAUUUUUAAUCCCCAAGACUAGAGGAGGACAUGGUAAAAUUGUUCAUCCACCGCUUCCUGUUUAGAAAAAAACUGCCCAUGAGGAAGGUAAUAGCCACCUCUUGGGAGCAAAAAGCCCCACAACCUCCCAAAAGGGCAAAGCCCAGCUCUCUGAACUAACAAUGCUGCCACCGCUCCCAACAAGGAAAUUGCAAAUCACUGCAGGGUGGAAGCUGGGCCUGCUUAACGCACCCUGAGGUCCUGGUUCCCAUAAUAAGUAUUUUAAGUUAGGGGAGGCGUCAAUCUCAAUGACCAAAGUGCUAGAUGAGUAAAGGUUGAUCCUAAUGAGGUUGCAGGCAGAGCUUCCAUUCCUCCAAUUGACUCUCCUCUCUCUCCACUCCUAGCAGCACCCCUGACCCCAUCUCAACAGUGGCCCCGGGGAAGACUGGGUUAGGGAAUACACUUGACUUGGUACAAAUCCACUGUGGCCCAGCAAACAGUAUGCAAACCAUACCCUACUUACUGUGUAUGGAGGACAGAACAAUCGAGAGUGCCAAUGUAAAAAAUGAUGCUGCAGGCAUGACAGUGGGCCCCCGUGUGUCCUUUUCCUUAAGGGUAAUUAACUGUUCGGAUUCAUACCUAAAAAUAGGCACGCUACUGAAACAAGUUGUUGAUGACCUAAGACAAGGCCAACCUGCCUGGCUCAGAGAUACCUGAGUGUGUCCAUCUUUUCAGGUAAAUUAACAUGACUGGCAUUGGGAUUUCAGCUUAAAAGGCAGAGAGUUGGAGCAGUCUACAGUGUUAUACAAUUUGUGCGUGACUGGCAGCAGGUGGAGAGUAAAUAAUAUCUGCAAAAGAAGAAACUGCAGGCAUUUGAAUCAAGUGGCAGCAAGCUUACCACUUAGGCAUGUUGUUAAUAAAAUACGUUGGUGUGAUUUGGUUAAGUCCCUCCACCCCACCACCUUAUUUUUUUUUUAACUUAAAUCAAUUUCUUAGAGCUAAAAGGCAUGCAGCUUAGCAAAAACAGCAGGAAAUUGCUUUAGAAUGCUUAUACUUCAUUUCAGGGAAUUUUUUUUUUAAUCUGAAGUAAAUAAGCCAUAUAGUUCUUCCCUGCCAUAACAAAACAUACAAUGACCCCAUCUGUGAUGAGGCAGAACCAGGGUUGCCUUGCCUGGGGGAAAGUUUAGAAAUUUCUGAGAAAAACCCAUAAAUUGAAGUUGUAAGCUGUGAGGUGGAAGCCUUGCAAAUGAUUUGCAGUUUACAGCAGUUACUCAAAGCAGUCAGAUUCUAACUGGGGGUCAAGAGAGCGUCCAUGUUUUACAGAUGGAUAAACUGAGGCAUAGAGCUUAAAGACCGGCUCUUUAGAGUUUAAAGCCAUGCCAUGUCACUGAUAGAGACUCCUUCCUGGGAGGAAAAAGACAAAAGACCUCUCUCCAGCAGAGGCUAGUAUAACCUCAGAGAAAUCUAUCUGAAGAUAUGAAAGCAUCACUAACAACCAAAAAAUAAAAGAUCUAGAAGGCUGUGGUGGGAGGAUCACUUGAAACUAGGAGUUUAAUACCAGCCAGAGAAACAGAGAGAACCUGUCUCUACAAAAAAUACAAAACAUUAGAUGGCCAAGGGUGGCAAGUGCCUGUAGUCCUAUCUACUCAAGAGGCUGAGGUGGGAAGAUCACUUGAGCCCAGGAGUUCAAGGUCACGGUGAGCUACAGUUGAGCCACUGCACUGUAGCCGGGAUGACAGAGAGAGAUACUGUCUCAAAAAAACAAAACAAACAAAAACAAACAAACAAAACUAGAAUGUAGGUAGGAAUCAGGAUAACUGGGAAGCAAAUUAACCUCGACCUGGGACUUCUUUAAAUGAGUUUGCACAGCUGUCUCAAUCCAUGUAAAUCUCUUGUUAUAUAAACCCACUCACUUGAUCAACAGAAACAGAGGGAGUCCAGAUGUUAGCGGAUAGAGCUCUCAUGCACCCAGCUUCCCUAGCUUGGAAUACGCCAGCACUGUCUAAAAUGAAGCUAAGCAAAACCCAAACAAAACCAACACCCAAACACCAAAAGCAAACCCAAACAAAAUCCCAACCAAACAAGUUACAAACAACUAAGGAUAUUUUCUAAACCCAUUGACUGACUCAUGACUUUCUGGUCUCCCUGGCUCAGAUUUCUGAGAGCUUUAAAAAAUUGUGCCAAACAAGGAAGUACCAUUGCUUAAUUAGGUCUUGCCAAUUAUUUUGCCUGAUUUUACUUUUUUUCUACCUCCCUGCUCCAUUCCAGUGACAUAGUAGGCUUCCCUCGACUUUCUACAUCAGCACACUGUAUCAGGUAGUGGACUUCCUGGACAAGCUCUAUACCACCUUUGGGAAAAAUUAUAGACCAUUAUGAUGUCUACAACAUGGAGACGAUGGGAAAUGCUUGUGACUAUUGAUGUAUGGGUGGGUAUUUUAGACAUGGAAUAAUAUUAAUUUUUAGUGGAGACAAAGCUUGGAAUUAAUGGAAAGUAACCAUUUAUGUAAACAUUCGAACUUUCUUAAGUUGUAAGCUCCUAGAAAGCAAAUCUUCUUAGUAGUCUCAAUUGUGCCUAUGGCUUUUCUCAUUGUUGUCCCCGAGGAAAUGUCUACUGCUUUGAUUUGAGAGCCAUCCUUUUCAAUAAUAAGGGAAACAAACUGGUUUUAUAUUUUUACUUUUGUGGUCAGACUUUCCGGCACUUAGCUCAAUGAUCUCCAACCUUUUACUGACAUAGGUAUUUUCCUUUCCUCAUGGCCAGUGAGGAAAGGCGGUGAAUUUUGAAAGACACACAGAACAAAUAUUUAGAUAAAAUUAUAAUAUCAAUAAUCAUUACCGACUGUAAUUUCAUUUUUAAUUGUAUAAAUUGAGAAGGGAACAAUGAAAUGUUUUGUUAGCCAUCAGGCAAACUGAAAAUAGAUUUAGAAAGUAUUUAAGAUUCAUUUUUUCAAUGCACAGUAAUUGAGAAACCUGUAUGUGCCAGGCACUGUGUUAGCACUGGAGCUCUAAAGGGCAGAAGGCUGAAUGUGAUAGAUGGAUCUCUACCUUCAGGGUGCAGUCUAGUAACACAUAGAAGGACUGAGACCAAUAGCCAUGUUGAAGAGGAGACGAUGGUUCUCCCAUCACCUUCAUUACUCCACCUGCUGCUCAUGAAGGUUGCUGCGGGAUGUGCUGAUUAACUUGUGUUUUGGUCGAAAUCUGAAGUGAUGCUGAAUCUUCGUCCUUUAAUGUUGUCUGUUUUAUUGUUGAACAAUUUUAUCAUGCAUCGUGUGAACUUUUAUGCUUAUGGUGUGUAUCAUCACAGCACUGGACAAUAAUGACUCACACAGUAGAAUAACAUAACUGUAUACUUGCAUCAAGGGUAGUUAAAACAUGGUAAGGUUUUCUCAUGUCUUUAUUAAUAAUGAUUAAAAAAUUAAUUAUUCACCUCUGA